Long non-coding RNA from Apis cerana (Asiatic honeybee), 948 nucleotides. RefSeq lists it as uncharacterized. Lineage: Eukaryota; Metazoa; Arthropoda; Insecta; Hymenoptera; Apidae. The record is from RefSeq and is a predicted model, not a curated record.
GCAUUUACAAAUAGAUCCAAUUGAAGCACGAACGAAAGAAAUAUAUAGCUAUAAUUUCGAUAUCUUUUUUUCGAGAGGAAUCGUAUUUGUAUUAAAUUUUAAGUUUCGAUUAAUUAAUAUAGUUGAAAUAUAGUUAAAUAAAUGUACGCGUAUAUCCUUACCUUGUGCGAUUUUAUCGUUAUUCGCGCUUUUCCAUAGAACUUGAUCGAAAGAACCUCGAAACAAAAGGGAUCAAUCAUUUGGCUUGUUCGAUUUCGAGGCGAGAAUUUUCUUCUUUGGCAGUGGCAUAAAGUGUCUCGUACGUUUGCGUCGAUGCUUUGGAAAUAAUACAACGAAAAGUUAAUGCUGAUCGUUGAUCGAUUAUUGUCUAAAAAAUUAGGUUAUGUACGCGUAUAUUCACGAAUUAAUAUGUAUUAUAAUUCUAACAGAUUUAGUAUCGAGCCGCAGGCAUUGGUCAAAUACAGAAGAUAUUAAUCGAAAUCUUGGACAAUAUUUGUUGCAUCAAUGUAAUCAAAUCAAGUGGAUAAUUACUCGUGCAGCUUGGUUUCUUAAAUUAGAUUUUCUUUAACGAUCGAGUAAGAUCUAUAAAAAAAAAUGUAUAUUCCUUGAAGUGUGCAAAUUAAAUGAAGUUAAAGCAUAUGAAAGCCAUCUAUUCAAUCGUAAAUUACGAUUGUUAGAAGGAUCGCCAUCCCUACAAAUUUGCAACAUCAAAAGAUCUGCCUACGAACGCUCGUUCGUGAAAAAAAAUACAACGCGUGGGCACGUUAUUAGCAUACUGAUGUCGAAUUUUAAACGGAAGACGUCAGAAAAAUUUGAAGUUCCGUGUUAAUAUUGAAUUCGUAUCUGAAAUAAAAAUAUAAAGAUCAAUUUAUAUUGUAUUUCGAUAUAAUUAUUUAGGCAGAAGAUGACACUCUGAAGAUGAAUAAAUGAUGCAAUAAAAUAAAUAAA